Bos taurus (domestic cattle) is the source of this 72-nucleotide non-coding RNA. The record is from Rfam. Lineage: Eukaryota; Metazoa; Chordata; Mammalia; Artiodactyla; Bovidae.
CCUCAGGUGGCUCAGAGGGUAAAGCAUCUGCCUGCAAUGCGGGAGACCCAGGUUUGAUCCCUGGGUUGGGAA